Molecule: ribosomal RNA, 590 nt
Filed under: Periconia macrospinosa
Lineage: Eukaryota; Fungi; Ascomycota; Dothideomycetes; Pleosporales; Periconiaceae
Description: SSU rRNA
Rfam family: Eukaryotic small subunit ribosomal RNA
Source: RNAcentral
ACUGCGAAUGGCUCAUUAAAUCAGUUAUCGUUUAUUUGAUAGUACCUUACUACAUGGAUAACCGUGGUAAUUCUAGAGCUAAUACAUGCUAAAAACCUCGACUUCGGAAGGGGUGUAUUUAUUAGAUAAAAAACCAAUGCCCUCCGGGGCUCCUUGGUGAUUCAUAAUAACUUCUCAGAUCGCAUGGCCUUGCGCCGGCGACGGUUCAUUCAAAUUUCUGCCCUAUCAACUUUCGAUGGUAAGGUAUUGGCUUACCAUGGUUUCAACGGGUAACGGGGAAUUAGGGUUCGAUUCCGGAGAGGGAGCCUGAGAAACGGCUACCACAUCCAAGGAAGGCAGCAGGCGCGCAAAUUACCCAAUCCCGAUACGGGGAGGUAGUGACAAUAAAUACUGAUACAGGGCUCUUUAGGGUCUUGUAAUUGGAAUGAGUACAAUUUAAACCUCUUAACGAGGAACAAUUGGAGGGCAAGUCUGGUGCCAGCAGCCGCGGUAAUUCCAGCUCCAAUAGCGUAUAUUAAAGUUGUUGCAGUUAAAAAGCUCGUAGUUGAACCUUUGGCCUGGCUGGCGGGUCCGCCUCACCGCGUGCACUC